Arachis stenosperma is the source of this 2452-nucleotide long non-coding RNA. RefSeq lists it as uncharacterized. The transcript has 5 exons. NCBI's taxonomy places the organism in Eukaryota, Viridiplantae, Streptophyta, Magnoliopsida, Fabales, Fabaceae. The record is from RefSeq and is a predicted model, not a curated record.
CGAAACCUAAACCUAACCCAGUAACCCCCAUUCGGCCAUUCCCCCAAGCCCCAAUCCCAAACGAACCCUAGCCCCUCUCUCCCUACUCCCUAGGUCUCACAGCCUCGCUCUCUGCAACUCCCAUCGCCGGUGAGAGACCUCCUCCCACCACCUCGCAGCCACCGCCACCUUCCUCCCAGCGCAGCCAUUCCACUGCUCCGACCCAGGACCUCCUCGCGGACAGAGCAGCCCAGCACUGCAGCACACAACCAGCGCCCAGCGCCCAGCAGGUUGGCACCACGCUUGCAAGUCGCACCCACCACCACCCUCGGUCCCUCGCAACUCGCAAAUCGCACCUAGCAGGCCAGGACCACCCAGGACCACUCGAUAGCCUAUUGCAAAACGCAGAGAAGACAGAAGAGAACUCGAACGCAGCUUGGAGGAAGCACCGAAGCAGCCAUCUCUCGUCGCCGUUCCUCAACGCCCAGCCACCGUCGCUGGCCUCGCCUUCUGCCUCCGUCGUGCAGCCACUGUCUCGACGGUGCCACUUCUGUUCCAUCGCGUCGGCCCUUCGGUCGUGCCCUGUUCCUUUCUUGCUACUGAUCUGCUCUGCUCUGUUCUGGCAUUUAGUUCUAGGUGUUAUUUUUUUUAAACUAUAAUUGUUGAAUAAUUCUUGUUACUUGUUAGUUAAUUCUACAAUGAAGUGGCUUGCCAAUGAGUUUUGGAAAUGUGUUGCCUCUCAAUUCUUCUGAAUCUCACUUGGUUCUAUAAUGUUAGUACUUUUUGCGUGUACAACUUGCAAUUCACUACUUUCUUGUCUGAUUAAAUUUUGGGUGACUAUUUUUCGUAACAAUUUAGUCAAAUAUAUCAAAUCAAUCUAUCGAUUUUCACUUAUCAGAUAGAAACUUGAGAAUCAUUCUUAUUUAAGUUGCAUAUGUGAUUUCACUUGUGCAUUACUGCCCCUUGGUGAGUGUGUAUUUAUUGCUAUGAACUAGUGGUCUAUUAGUAAAAUUGAUCCAUCAAUAUGAUGUAGUUUGAUUCAGUUGCCAAAUAAUUUGACAUCAACUUAAUUCACUUCUCUUUCUUGUCUUAUUGGCUCAAAUAUUAAUAUUUCUGGUCGUAUUUCAUAGCAAAGUAAAAAGCUCCUAUUGUUCAGGUUUUGCUCUUUGGAUUAAUUGAUUGACCAAAACAUAGAUGAUGUACACCUAUCCAAACAAUCUUAGUAUUGAUGCUAUUUGGAUGUAGGAUGAUAUAUCCAAUCAAUCAACAUCUUGGAGGCAACUUGAAUUAAUGCUGUUUAACUGUGGUUAAUCUUGUCUAAUUUGAAAUUCAUUCGAUGCAAUCAAUUUACAUUUCAAAUGUAGAUGGCAUUGAUAUAUGUAAGGCCAACUGCCAAAGGUACAUUUAAUUAAUAAUUGAAUGACCUUUAUAUCAUAUCCGUCACACUCUCUUAGACUUUAUAAAUGGCAGCGAACGGGAGUAGUGUUUCCAAAGCGUUCUUUAGAUGCGUCUCCAAUAUUUACUCCACCUCCUACCCAUCAAGCUUCAGGAAGUAUGCAUGCUGGAUAUGGGAUGCCAAGCGGUUCUUCAAAAACACUUGACAAAACAAUGGCAACAGAGAUAGAAACUUUGAGUUUGUCAAGCUUGGAAUCCAUGCGCCAUGUUAUGGACCUGUUGAGUGACAUGCUUCAAGCUGUGAAUCCUAGUGACUGUACGGCUGUAAAAGACGAAGUAAUUGUUGAUCUUGUUGAUCGCUGUCGCACCAACCAGAAAAAUUGAUGCAGAUGCUAACAACAACUGGGGAUGAGGAGCUUCUUGGACGAGGCCUUGAACUAAAUGAUAGUAUUCAGAGUUUGCUUCCAAAACAUGAUGCAAUUGCUACAGGGAAUCCCCUUCCAAUUCAACGUGCAGGUUCCAGCACUCCACCAGGUGAAGUUCUGCCAGAUGAAGCUAACUCAAAUUUCAAUCAAACUGAUGUGCGGAGCCCCAGCCAUCAGACUGACAUGAAGAGCCCCAGCCGCAGUCCCGUAGAGUCUAUUUCAAUGAUUGUACUCUGAACACUCCACAAGCUCUAAGGUUCAAUCACAAAAAGGGGCUGCAAGGGAACAAAAAUAAAUCAAAACAAUGAUGAUGGACAAGUUAAUCUGUUACUUUGAAAAUUUUUUACAUUCUCGGAUCAAUGUAUCUGAAUAUAACUAGGAUCUGGAUAUGGUGAUAGAAGGAUGUAUCAAAUUUUCACUGCGAGAUUAAGGGGAACAAAAGAAGUAUUUAGUUGAAGACCUAGAAUGUACUUACCAUGUCAACACUAACAGGCUUGCCAUCUUCUGCAAGGAUUUCGACUAUAGUUCCUGAUUGAUCAGCCUGUAUAUACACACACAAGACACAAAUUUGUAGUUCAAGAUGGAAAGAAAAUCUGAAGAACUGUGAAGUGAAGAUAAUGCUACAACUUAUGCAUCUCCCAUUGCUUUUUAAA